This 397-nucleotide ribosomal RNA is filed under the name uncultured bacterium. RNAcentral describes it as "partial 16S ribosomal RNA". It matches the Rfam family "Bacterial small subunit ribosomal RNA", at positions 523 to 918 of the family's 1533-position model. The record is from RNAcentral.
AUACGUUGGUGACAAGCGUUAUCCGGAUUUACUGGGUGUAAAGGGCGUGUAGGCGGUUUAGCAAGUCAGAAGUGAAAUUCCCGGGCUUAACUUGGGCGCUGCUUCUGAAACUGCUUUACUUGAGUGCUGGAGAGGAUAGUGGAAUUUCUAGGGUAGCGGUAAAAUGCGCAGAUAUUAGGAGGAACACCGGUGGCGAAGGCGGCUAUCUGGACAGUAACUGACGCUGAGGCGCGAAAGCACGGGGAGCAAACAGGAUUAGAUACCCUGGUAGUCCGUGCCGUAAACGAUGAAUACUAGGUGUAGGGGGUAUCGACUCCCUCUGUGCCGCAGUUAACACAUUAAGUAUUCCACCUGGGGAGUACGGCCGCAAGGUUGAAACUCAAAUGAAUUGACGGGG